AGCUAAUAUUCAAUAUCUGUCAAUGUCCAUAUAGUUAAUGACAACUCUACCCUAUGGUGAUUAGUACUCAUGAUUGUAAAUUUUGAAAAUUAUUUUGAAGUCUUGCUGACAGUCUGGCUUUGCUGCUGAAGUUCAAGCUUUACCUUGCCCACAACCCUUGUUCCACAGGACCUGAGUUCAAAAUGUUUCUUGGCAGUUGAUCUUUGUCUUAGAAAAUUCCAGCAAAAUGUUCUGGUGGAGGAAGGUUUUUUGGUGUGGAACAACAGACAUAAACUAUGGAAAUGCACAGAAGUAAAGGCAUUUUUCAGAGAACCAAAGCCUAUCAUCUGGAACAGGAAAGGAGACAUACCUUCAUUGAAUGAGUGAUGAAAAAUACUGUUGGGCAAGUUAGUUGGAGUUGUCGAUUGGGAUUAUGUUCCACAGCCCUUCUCUCAGUGAAAGAAAAAUUAAGUGAAUGGUUGUAUCUAUCACUAAACCAAAACCGUAUGUGCAAAGCAGCAGCAAACUUAGAGAAGUCCAUCACAGGUUGGCAGUGGGUGUCCUAAGAAACCUGAAACAGAUGUUCAGAGUGCGAAGACUGGCUGAUAUAACCAGCAAUAACUGACAUAGAUUUUUGGAACUGGUAUCUAUUCCUUUGGCACCUCCAGAAGUGGUUAGGGAAAGGAACCCUGUACUUUUAGAUUCCUGCUUUCAUAUUCAAAAUAUCAGCUAAUGUUAUUGUUACCUG
This 727-nucleotide long non-coding RNA is filed under the name Pan paniscus (pygmy chimpanzee). Its description in RNAcentral is "lncRNA (ENSPPAG00000045613.1)". The record is from RNAcentral. Lineage: Eukaryota; Metazoa; Chordata; Mammalia; Primates; Hominidae.